This 1440-nucleotide ribosomal RNA is filed under the name Triticum aestivum (bread wheat). Its description in RNAcentral is "partial small subunit ribosomal RNA". The record is from RNAcentral. Lineage: Eukaryota; Viridiplantae; Streptophyta; Magnoliopsida; Poales; Poaceae.
AUGAUGGGGAGGAAGGCCCUGGACUACGAGGAGCUCAACGAGAACGUCAAGAAGGUGCAGUACGCCGUGCGCGGGGAGCUCUACCUCCGCGCCUCCGAGCUCCAGAAGGAGGGCAAGAGGAUCAUCUUCACCAACGUCGGCAACCCGCACGCCCUCGGCCAGAAGCCACUCACCUUCCCCCGCCAGGUGGUGGCGCUCUGCCAGGCUCCCUUCCUGCUCGAUGAUCCCAACGUCGGCCUCAUCUUCCCCGCCGAUGCCAUCGCGAGGGCCAAGCACUACCUCUCCCUCGCGCCCGGCGGUUUAGGUGCUUACAGUGACUCCCGAGGUAUCCCUGGGGUUAGGCAGGAAGUUGCCGAGUUCAUUCAGAGGCGUGAUGGGUAUCCAAGUGAUCCAGAGCUUAUUUACCUCACUGAUGGUGCCAGCAAAGGUGUGAUGCAAAUGCUCAACGCCAUUAUCAGAAACGAGAGGGACGGGAUUUUGGUCCCUGUUCCACAAUACCCGCUUUAUUCUGCUGCUAUUUCCCUCUUUGGUGGUUCUCUUGUCCCGUAUUAUUUGGAAGAAGAGGCUAACUGGGGACUUGAUCUUGUCAGUACCCGGCAAUCAGUUGCAGAAGCACGGUCAAAGGGAAUCACUGUUCGAGCAAUGGUGAUAAUAAACCCAGGAAACCCUACUGGUCAAUGCCUAAGUGAAGCAAAUAUUAGGGAACUUUUGAACUUCUGCUAUCAGGAAAACUUGGUUCUGCUUGCAGAUGAAGUUUAUCAACAGAAUGUUUAUCAAGAUGAGCGUCCGUUUAUAAGUGCAAGAAAGGUUAUGUUUGACAUGGGUCCUCCAGUAAGCAGGGAAGUUCAGCUGAUUUCUUUCCAUACUGUGUCCAAAGGAUAUUGGGGAGAGUGUGGACAACGUGGUGGGUACUUUGAAAUGACAAAUAUUCCUCCCAAGACUGUCGACGAGAUUUACAAGGUUGCAUCAAUCGCGCUGAGUCCAAAUGUUCCUGGGCAGAUCUUUAUGGGGCUUAUGGUGAACCCUCCUAAACCUGGAGACAUCUCGUACCUGAAGUACUCUGCUGAAAGUAAGUCUAUCCUUGAAUCUUUAAGGAGGAGGGCACAAAUAAUGACAGACGGUUUCAAUAGUUGCCGAAAUGUUGUCUGCAAUUUCACAGAAGGAGCUAUGUAUUCUUUCCCGCAAAUACGGCUGCCGCAAAGAGCUAUGGAUGUAGCAAAAAGCGCUGGCAAAGCGCCCGAUGUUUACUACUGCCUCAAGCUUCUGGAAGCCACUGGAAUUUCCACUGUUCCAGGCUCAGGUUUUGGUCAGAAAGAAGGGGUGUUCCAUCUGAGGACGACGAUCCUGCCCGCGGAGGAGGACAUGCCGGCGAUCAUGUCGAGCUUCAAGAAGUUCAACGACUCGUUCAUGGAGCAAUACCAGGACCACUCGAGGCUGUGA